This 253-nucleotide ribosomal RNA is filed under the name uncultured bacterium. Its description in RNAcentral is "partial 16S ribosomal RNA". It matches the Rfam family "Bacterial small subunit ribosomal RNA", at positions 524 to 776 of the family's 1533-position model. The record is from RNAcentral.
UACGUAGGGGGCAAGCGUUGUCCGGAAUCAUUGGGCGUAAAGCGUGCGCAGGCGGUUUUGUAAGCCAGAUGUGAAAUCCCCGGGCUUAACCUGGGAAUGGCAUUUGGGACUGCAAGGCUUGAGUGCGGCAGAGGAGACUGGAAUUCCUGGUGUAGCAGUGAAAUGCGUAGAUAUCAGGAGGAACACCGAUGGCGAAGGCAGGUCUCUGGGCUGACACUGACGCUCAUGCACGAAAGCGUGGGGAGCAAACAGG